RNAcentral lists this ribosomal RNA (253 nucleotides) under uncultured bacterium. RNAcentral's name for it is "partial 16S ribosomal RNA". It matches the Rfam family "Bacterial small subunit ribosomal RNA", at positions 524 to 776 of the family's 1533-position model. The record is from RNAcentral.
UACGUAGGCAGCAAGCGUUGUUCGGAGUUACUGGGCGUAAAGGGUGUGUAGGCGGUUCUUUAAGUUUGGUGUGAAAUCUCCCGGCUCAACUGGGAGGGUGCGCCGAAUACUGAGGGACUAGAGUACGGGAGAGGAAAGUGGAAUUCCUGGUGUAGCGGUGAAAUGCGUAGAUAUCAGGAGGAACACCGGUGGUGUAGACGGCUUUCUGGACCGUAACUGACGCUGAGACACGAAAGCGUGGGUAGCAAACGGG